UUUCCCGCUUACUUCCGCCAUGAUGAAAGAGGCUGCGGUCCCUCGGAGACUUUGGCCUGGGCCUUGGAGGCGUGCCUGUGUGGCCCGGCCUCCUUCCUGCCUCCUCUUCUCUGAAGAGAGAUGGCGCUGGGCGGGCUGCGAGUGCUGGAGCUGGCGGGCCUGGCCCCGGCCCCGCUUUGCGGCCUUCUCCUGGCCGACUUCGGGGCCCAGGUGGUGCGCGUGGACCGCUGCCCGCGCGCCGCCGCCACUCCCGACGUGCAGGCCCGGGGCAAGCGCUCGCUGGCCGUGGACCUCAAGCAGCCUCGCGGCGCGGCGCUCCUCCGCAGGCUCUGCCGCAAGGCCGACGUCCUCAUCGAGCCCUUCCGCCCAGGUGUUAUGGAAAAACUGGGUCUUUCUCCAGAUCUCCUCCUUCAGGAUAACCCCAGACUCAUCUAUGCCAGGUUAACUGGAUUUGGCAACGCAGGAAAAUACGCCCCGUUGGCAGGUCAUGAUAUCAACUAUUUGGCGGUCUCAGGUGUUUUGUCAAAGCUUGGCAGAAAAGAUGAAAAUCCUUAUGCCCCAGUCAAUGUUCUGGCUGAUUUUGCUGGUGGUGGCGUCAUGUGUGCAAUGGGCAUCCUUAUAGCCCUCCACGAACGCACUAAAUCUGGGAAAGGACAAGUCAUUGAUGCAAGUAUGGUAGAAGGUACAGCAUACCUAAGCUCUUUUCUAUGGAAAUCACAAAAAAUUGGCCUUUGGGCCAGGCCUCGCGGGGAGAACCCGUUGGACAGCGGAGCCCCUUUCUAUGAAACAUAUAAGACCUCAGAUGGGAAAUACAUGGCUGUCGGUGCUCUUGAACCACAAUUUUACAAGCAGUUCAUAAUUGAAUGACCCUCAACUCGUCCAUAUGUCAUAUCAAAAUUCAUACUUUUGACCCUGUAACUUGCCUUUGAGUGAUACAGUGCAUGAGUCAACCUGUACAUGAAUAUAUGUGGUAAGAGGUUGCUCGGGAACAUCCUUAUCACUGAAGAAGAACUGUACAAUCAUCCCAUCUUAUUUGAGUAUUGCCAAACCAUCUCUGAAAAUUUCUCAUCUAAUAAAGACCUCUGAAAUUUAUGACAUUGCCAUAAUUUGACAGGUGAUUUGAAGGCACGUGUACACACACAUACAUUCCUAACCUUAAUCAGAUGCUGACAAGUUUAUACUGUUGUUAAUUUUUUGAAGAAUUGUGCUAUGCUGUAACGAAGAAGUAGAAAAAAAAGAAGUAGUACAAUGUUAGGGAGAUUAAUGGGAACCCGGGGUACUAGAUAAGUUUGGAUUCCAGGGUGAGUUGGGAUUUAUUUUAUGCUUGAAAAUGUUCACUUUUCAAUUGAUAUUUAUGUAUAUUUGUAUUUCAGAUUGGUUGUAAGCAGAAUAGUGUAAAUCUCAGGAGUCACAUGGAGGUACAAAUGAGAUGAUCAAUCAAUUUGAGCUAUAAAAGAAGUGAGCCAGGUUCUUGUAGAAAAAGACUAAGGGAGAUAUAUAAAUAUGGCUAGGCAUAGAAACUAAGCAAGUGAGAAAAAAGUGGGGAAAUUACCACAAUUGAUUCAAUUCUUAUAUCGGUAGAUCUAUGUUUAGACGUCUCAACCAUUAUAAUUUCAGGAUAUUAUUCUGGUUUUGACUCAAUCAGAAAAGUCUUCAACAGAGGAAUAAAUGACUGGCCACCCUCUUUGUUAAAUAUUUAAAUAGCUCAAAAUACUGUUGGUAUUAUUUGAUAAACAUAUUUACUGUUAUAGCUGAAACCAAGUGUAUUGAAUAUUAGCCUUGAGGGCAAAUGCAUUAUAUUAGUUCAAACUAAAUUGUACCUUUUCCUUUUUCUGGAUUUCUGUUAUCAAGUAUUUUAUUCAGUAAACCCUGCUUAAAACCUUAGCCAGGGUUGAACAAGUGUGAGAGAUGGAGGACACAUUGGCAUCCUAUGGGAAAGGGCUGUUUAUUAUUAUUAUUAUUAUUAUUAUUAUUAUUAUUAUUAUUAUUACUACUAUUAUUAACAGCAGCAACAACUUUAUUUUUAUAUCCUGCCACCAUCUCCCCAAGGGGACUCGGGGCGGCUCACAUGGGGCGAAGCCCAACAACACAAUUAAAAUCAAAAUUACAUAAAAAUGCAAUUCACAGUUUAAAAAAGAAUAAAACAACAACAAUAGGGUUGCUAUGAGUUUUCCGGGAUGGAUGGCCAUGUUCCAGAAGCAUUCUCUCCUGACAUUUUGCCCACAUCUAUGGCAGGCAUCCUCAGAGGUUGUGACCUCACAAUACAUCACAAAUACUACAAGCUAACUUCUGUGUUGCCACAAAUAAAUCAGCAUGGACAACUAAUCUCAUCCAUCUUGAUAAUGGGGAAGACAGGAAUGGGGUCUGGAGUGGGCUUACUGUUACAGAAGUUUAAAGCAUUGCAAGAGUUCUGUGGCUCCUCAUAAAGACAACUGUGCUUUCUCCUCUCUGUGGAAUGAUCCCAAACUUAUUCACGGGCCAUAUCAAAAUUCAUAAUUUUAGCCCCAAAACCUGUCUUUAAAAUAUAUAUGAUGUUGAUAUAUACAUGAAUAUAUAUGUUGUAUAUGCGUGCGUGUUCAUUAUGCAUUAUUAAUUUUUUUAUUAUCCCAUAUAUUGGUGGAGCAGAGAGCAUUGGCAUCCAAGUCACUUUGUUGUAACAUACAUAGCUAGCCCAAACUAUGCUACAUAACUCUCACUCAAAGAUGUUUCUUUACCAGCAAUUCCUUUUUUCUACCAUUUUUAGCAAAUAUACAGAGAUGCAAUCUACUCCGUAACUCCUCUGAGUUCUUCAGCUCACCUAAAUAAUGCAUUGGAUAUCAGCAAACCAACUAGUUUGUUCCGCAGAUCAAUAUACAAAUCCUAAACUAAGCAUAUGCUAAGGUUCCCUAACAUGAACUGUGAUUGUGAUUAUAUUUAGAUCAGCUCCAGUUCCACAUGGACUCUAUUCAUCUUUCUUUUAGUGUGUCUCCUUUGUUACAUUAGAUUUAUGAGCCUCAAAUAUCACUAGAUUCUCAUCCCCAUGGAAAUGCUGGUCUACUGAUGACAUUUUGAUAUGUCAUGUGCACAAGCUCCCUGUUUUCAAUAGUGCAGCCCUAAUUGAAAGACUGUUGUUAUCCAGAUUCCCAGCUCAUAUAGAAAUUGAGGCCCCUGGACUUAAGUGAAAUUUUCAGAGUUUGGCAGUGAGCAAAGGAAAGAGAUAGCUAUCAAAUGAAGCAGAAAUGUGCUUACUUGAGUAUACUCCUCAGCUUUUGAAUUAAGAAACCGUGUUUCAGGAAGCAAGGGAAGAAUAUGAAAAUGUUAUAUUUUUCCACCUGCGGUAAGCAAUCAUAGUACUCUAGUUGAGUUAUUUUAUUUGCAAUCUGUUUUCUUGUAUAACUUGUAAAUGAUCCCAUAUCAGUUCAGGGUCACAGUUUUUUUUACCUUGUGACAGUACAACUCCGAUGACAGUUCCACUUGCCUCAAGUUGGCAUUUUUUGUUAAAAUACACGAGUAUUUUACUAUUGUAGCGUGUGGUUUGAAAACUGGACUAUAACUCUGGAGACCCGGGUUUGAUCCCCGCUUGGGCAUAGAAACCCUCUGGAUAAUCUUGUAUACAUCACACUCCCUCAGCCUUAGAAAACCCCAUGAUAGGUUCGCCUUAGGGUCACCAUAAAGGUCACCAUAAGUCAGAAAUGACAUGAAAACAUACAACAACAUACCAUAUAUACUCGAAUAUACGCUGACCCGAAUAUAAGCCGAGGCAUCUAAUUUUACCAUUAAAAAACUGGGAAAUCAUUGACUCAAGUAUAAGCCGAUGGUGGGAAAUUUCAGAAAUAAAAAAUAGAUACCAAUAAAAUUACAUUAAUUGAGGCAUCAGUAGGUUAAAUGUUUUUAAAUAUUUACAUCAAGCUCUAAUUUAAGAUAAGACUGUCCAACUCUGAUCAAGUCAUUAUUCUCACCUUCUUCAAUGUAAAUGUGCUUAUGUAUCCUUUUAAUAAUAAUAGAGUAAAAUAAUAUAUGUAAUAAUAAAUAGAGUAAAAUAAUAAAUGCAAUAAUAAUAAUAAGAUCAGAGUGAAAUAAUAAAUGUAUUAUUAAUAAUAAUAAAUAUAGAGUAAAAUAAAUGUAAUAGUAGCAACAAUAAUAGAGAAAAAUAAUAAAUGUAAUAAUACCAAUAAUAAUAGAGAAAAAUAAUAAAUGUAACAUAUAUUCUCCAGUAUAAGCUGACCCAAAUAUAAGCCAACCAGGACUCUCACCCGAGUAUAAGCCGAGGGGGGCGUUUUCAGUCUUUAAAAAAGGGCUGAAAAACUAGGGUUAUACUUGAGUAUAUACAGUACAUUUUGUAAUUACCAGUAAAUCAGUAUUAAACACAAAGAGAAAUCAAUUUGUGAGUGAUAAUCUCCAUUUUUUUGUCCCAACCCUGUUGUUCAUUUAUAGUUGUCAUAUGCUGAUGUCCUGACAGUAAUUAGCAACAACAAAUUAUAAAAUAUCUGCCCAUCAAAGCAUACUGGAUACCAACUUUGCAAUUAUCUUGGUGGCAACUCCCUCCUGUUUUUUCUUGGUUUAGAUUGCAUGUUAAGGAGUAUUUAUGUUUUUACUUUUGUUGUUCCAGUCCUAUGUAUCCACUGCACUGAUAUCCAUAAUCAUAAAGGGUGAUUUUAAAGUGCUUUAGUAAUCAAAAUCUAUGUAUUUUAUUUAUUUGAAAUGUUUCUUUCCUGCCUUGCCAUUCAGGAGAGUGUUCAAAGAGGCAUAACAUCAGCAUGUAAGUCUAGUUAUACAGUAACAUAGCAACAUAAUCAGCAGCAGUAAAACAGCAAUCCCUGAAUAAAGCUAUAAUGAUAACAAUUUUCUGGUAUGAAGUACGUUUCUCAUCCCUGAGCCUGGAUGACAAAUCAGUGGUAUGCUUCCCAAGAAAAAGGUGUUUUUGGCUAAAGGUAUUCCCCCCCCCCCCAAUUUCCUACCCCUCAACUUCUGUGAAACUACCAUAAAACACAAUAAACACCAAAGUCAAAGAUAAAGAGCUUCUGGCUGGUUUAUUUUAUUAUAGGUUUAGAACACUGCACUGGUUAUUGACUAAUAAAUGUGUCAUAUAAAAAUAUUUAAAUGUGGCCUUUUUCUAUUUCCUAUUUGCAAUAUGCCUGAAAAUUGAUUAGGUUUGGCUUCUUUCCACUGUAAUUUUUAUAUAUAAUCACAUAAUGGGAUCAUGAUUUUAUAUCGCUUCAGUUAGGACAUGCUGUUUUAUAUAAAGCAAAAAACAAAUACUGAAUAGUCGAGGCUUCAGUUUGAAAAUGUUCUCAUCAUAAAAAUGACUAUUAUAAGUGGGAAGUAUUUCAUGCACUAUAAUAUGCAUCCAUGUGUAAUUUACUAUCACUUUAAUUUCCUGUUCUCUCCUUGUACUCUGUUGAGUAGAACAUUAGAAGUGAUAUAAAAUAUGACAUAAGUUGAACACUAGUAUAUGAGUCUGUAACUUCCUAGAUGUUUUUGGACAGCAACUCCUAUUAUCCCUGAUUAAUAGUAUCUGGAAGGCAUAAUCUAGUACAUUUUUGGUGUUAUUCCAGAGAAGCUGUACUCCUGAUGAGGAGUCUGCAUUGCAAGCUCCACAACAUGAAUUUCCUACUUUAGUAAUGGGAGCCAGCAACAGAAUAGUACAAUAUGCAACUUUCCAUAUACCUGAAUCUGUAAGGAUCCAAAGAGCUGCAAUACCCGAUUGGUGAAAUCAGUAUCCUUUGGAUAAAUAUGAAACUUGUACAGGCCAGAGGCAAACACUGCAGUCCAGGAAGCAUCUUUCUCUUGUCCCUCUACUCUUAACUCUCCUUUCACAGAUAGCAAUGUAGUGACAUAGUGUGAAUAUUGAUAACCGAGGUGGUUGUUUUGUUUUAUUUUUAUCCUCAGAUCUUUAAUACAGAUGUUUAAAAUGUUUAGUAGUGCUUAAAGUUAGAAAGUAUUUCCAGUACCCUUUCAAUUUAUGCAGGGAAUAGGCCAGGUUUUAUAUAGGAUAUUGUCCCCUAAGUUCAGUUCAAAUUUUGAAUGUUCACUUAUUCAAGGAGUCAACCAGAGUUUGAAGGAUGAAAGUCAGCAACUGCCAAAGGGAUUACCUGUCAUUUCAGGGCAGAGUAGUAUGUUUAGAGGUGUGCAUAGUAAAUUUGUCUAAGACUAUUCAUUCUUCUAGCCCAGUAUCAUUUAUUUAAUGUCAGUUGUAAAGGCCUAAGUCUGAGGAAAGUCAGAAGCUAUGAGACCAAAUGAGUGAACUUCACAUCAACAGUAGCAGAGUUAAUGGUCUGGGACUAGAUUCCCACAAACUUCCACAUCAGAUGAGUUUGUCUGACUGGCCUGAAAUGAAGAAGGCCUUUGCAGAUGUGUUCUUGACAAAAACCCAAGCAGAAUGGUGUGCCAUCUUUGAUGGCACUGAUGCC
Molecule: RNA transcript, 6389 nt
Organism: Anolis carolinensis (green anole)
Lineage: Eukaryota; Metazoa; Chordata; Lepidosauria; Squamata; Anolidae
Gene: amacr
Gene name: alpha-methylacyl-CoA racemase
Exons: 6
Source: RefSeq, a predicted model, not a curated record